UACGUAGGGGGCAAGCGUUGUCCGGAUUCAUUGGGCGUAAAGAGCGUGUAGGCGGCCAGGUAGGUCGGUUGUGAAAACUGGAGGCUCAACCUUCAGAGGUCGAUCGAAACCAUCUGGCUAGAGUCCGGGAGAGGAGAGUGGAAUUCCUGGUGUAGCGGUGAAAUGCGCAGAUAUCAGGAAGAACACCCGUGGCGAAGGCGCUCUACUGGACCACAACUGACACUCAGGGACGAAAGCUAGGGGAGCGAAUGGG
RNAcentral lists this ribosomal RNA (253 nucleotides) under uncultured bacterium. RNAcentral's name for it is "partial 16S ribosomal RNA". It matches the Rfam family "Bacterial small subunit ribosomal RNA", at positions 524 to 776 of the family's 1533-position model. The record is from RNAcentral.